UACCUUUCUCACACGACUGUGACAACCGUGACCCUAAAGUCGAGUUUCACUUGUGGGUGGAAAUACUUUUGGAGAGGAAAGAAGAGCUGAGGUUUCGGAGCAGCGAUAGAGGCGAACGACAGCGAACACCAUCGCACAGCGGACAAGAUGGAAGCUGUACAUAAGUUAUGGCACCCUGGCACGUGGAGCCAUGGUGAUCGUAGCACUAGUCGUGAUUAUCAUUAUUUACUGCUGCUUUUACAGAGUGACAUGUAAGUGUAUAGACACACACACACACACACACACAAAUUACAACACAAAGUUAGUUUUCUCUGCUUUUCAGCACACGAAUCAUCUCCCAGUAAAGACCCACAGGAGCCGAUCACGCACCGAGGACAUGCUGACCGUAAUGAGGAAAAGACUGAUUCUGGUUCGGUGUAUGAGAAUCUGACUCUUUCUGGUUCGGUGUAUGAGAAUCUGACUCUUUCUGGUUCGGUGUAUGAGAAUCUGACUCUUUCUGGUUCGGUGUAUCAGUUUCUGGUUUAGAGUAUCAGACUCUAAAGAAGACCAAUCGAAACACGUGCAUUUACGAGAGUGUUUAUGAAUGUGUAGAUGACAGCGGGACACGCGGCGGGACACGCAGCAGGACCGAGUCCAUCUACCAGGACAUUUGAGAAUUUCUGAGAAUUCGUCCUUGCUUUGAAGACCAUCAAUUUUUUUAUUUUCCAAUAUUGAAAGAUAAAUUUUAUAGAACAUAUUAUAAACAUAUAUUAAAUUUGAACGUACGCAGUCCGAACCCCAAAAAAAACAUACAAGUCUCUCUGUACAGUCAGGUCCGUAAGUAUUUGGACAGUGACCCGGUUUUUGCGAUUUUGCCGCUGUACACCACCACGGUGGAUUUGAAAUGAAGCAAUGACGUGAUUGAAGUGUAGACCUUCAGCUUGAAUUCAAGGGGUUUAACAAAAAUAUUGCAUUAACCGUUUACACUUACUUACAGAGUCCCUCCAUUCUCACAG
Ictalurus furcatus (blue catfish) is the source of this 995-nucleotide long non-coding RNA. RefSeq lists it as uncharacterized. The record is from RefSeq and is a predicted model, not a curated record. The transcript has 3 exons. Lineage: Eukaryota; Metazoa; Chordata; Actinopteri; Siluriformes; Ictaluridae.